AGGACGAACGCUGGCGGCGUGCUUAACACAUGCAAGUCGAGCGACGCUCCUCCUUCGGGAGGAUGACGGAGCGGCGAACGGGUGAGUAACACGUGGGCAACCUGCCCCUAGCUCUGGGAUAACCCCGGGAAAUCGGGACUAAUACCGGAUAUGAAGUCGGACGGCAUCUUCUGACUUGGAAAGUUUUUCGGCUAGGGAUGGGCCCGCGGCCUAUCAGCUUGUUGGUGGGGUAACGGCCUACCAAGGCGACGACGGGUAGCCGGCCUGAGAGGGCGACCGGCCACACUGGGACUGAGACACGGCCCAGACUCCUACGGGAGGCAGCAGUGGGAAUAUUGCACAAUGGGCGAAAGCCUGAUGCAGCGACGCCGCGUGAGGGAUGACUGCCUUCGGGUUGUAAACCUCUUUCAGCAGGGACGAAGCGAAAGUGACGGUACCUGCAGAAGAAGCACCGGCCAACUACGCGCCAGCAGCCGAC
This 478-nucleotide ribosomal RNA is filed under the name uncultured bacterium. Its description in RNAcentral is "SSU rRNA". It matches the Rfam family "Bacterial small subunit ribosomal RNA", at positions 26 to 518 of the family's 1533-position model. The record is from RNAcentral.